This 489-nucleotide ribosomal RNA is filed under the name uncultured bacterium. RNAcentral describes it as "partial 16S ribosomal RNA". It matches the Rfam family "Bacterial small subunit ribosomal RNA", at positions 28 to 507 of the family's 1533-position model. The record is from RNAcentral.
GACGAACGCUGGCGGCGUGCUUAACACAUGCAAGUCGAACGGAAAGGCCCUGCUUUUGUGGGGUGCUCGAGUGGCGAACGGGUGAGUAACACGUGAGUAACCUGCCCUUGACUUUGGGAUAACUUCAGGAAACUGGGGCUAAUACCGGAUAGGAGCUCCUGCUGCAUGGUGGGGGUUGGAAAGUUUCGGCGGUUGGGGAUGGACUCGCGGCUUAUCAGCUUGUUGGUGGGGUAGUGGCUUACCAAGGCUUUGACGGGGAGCCGGCCUGAGAGGGUGACCGGCCGCCGUGAGACUGAGACACGGCACAAACGGCUAAGGGAGGCAGCAGUAGGGAAGCUUCGGCCAUGGACGAGAGUCUGACCGAGCAAGGCCGCGUGAGGGAAGAAGGGUUUCGGAUCGUAAAACGCGGUUGCUAGGGAAUAACGUUGGUGAGAGUGGAAAGCUCAUCAAGUGACGGUAACUACCCAGAAAGGGACGGCUAACUACGUG